GUAGCUUAAUGGUACAGCAUCUGCUUUGCAUGCAGAAGGUCCCAGGUUCAAUCCUUGGACU
This 61-nucleotide transfer RNA is filed under the name Podarcis lilfordi (Lilford's wall lizard). Its description in RNAcentral is "tRNA.Ala". It matches the Rfam family "tRNA", at positions 8 to 63 of the family's 71-position model. From Rfam's summary of the family: Transfer RNA (tRNA) molecules are approximately 80 nucleotides in length. Lineage: Eukaryota; Metazoa; Chordata; Lepidosauria; Squamata; Lacertidae. The record is from RNAcentral.